GGCUUCUUGCUAUUACUUAUUGUUCAAUUAAAUCUCUAAAUAAAAAAAGAAUAUGAAGGCCAUAUAUAAAAUUGUUCCUAUAAGGGCAAUUACAUCAAUACAUAAGUCUUAAGUAUCAAAGAUCACCAAAAAUGUAAUAAAAAUAUUAUAAAACUUUGUAUAUUCUUAAGAUGAAUUUUUUCCAAACUUCAACAGCUCAUAUCUCACGAUCAAACUGUCUUAACAAACCAAAAUUUUACAUAAACUACUGAUGUACUUUUAACAACUAUCACAAUAAAUUUCAAGUAUAAGUUUAU
Molecule: long non-coding RNA, 296 nt
Filed under: Physcomitrium patens
Lineage: Eukaryota; Viridiplantae; Streptophyta; Bryopsida; Funariales; Funariaceae
Description: long non-coding RNA (PPAT_LNC001405)
Source: RNAcentral